GACGAACGCUGGCGGCGUGCUUAACACAUGCAAGUGGAGCGACGAACCAGGGCUUGCCCUGGGGCAGAGCCGCGAACGGGUGAGUAACACGUGGGUAACGUGCCCCGAUGACUGGGACAACCCGGGGAAACCCGGGCUAAUACCGGAUGUGCCCCCUCACAUCAGUGAGGUGUGUAAAGGAAGCUUCGGCCUCCGCAUCGGGAUCGGCCCGCGGCCCAUUAGCUUGUUGGUGAGGUAACGGCUCACCAAGGCUGCGAUGGGUAGCUGGUCUGAGAGGACGAUCAGCCACACUGGGACUGAGACACGGCCCAGACUCCUACGGGAGGCAGCAGUGGGGAAUCUUGCGCAAUGCGCGAAAGCGUGACGCAGCAACGCCGCGUGGGGGAAGACGGCCUUCGGGUUGUAAACCCCUUUCAGUUGGGACGAAGGUCGGGCGGUUAACAGCCGUUCCGGCUGACGGUACCUUCACAAGAAGGCCCGGCUAACUACGUG
RNAcentral lists this ribosomal RNA (492 nucleotides) under uncultured bacterium. RNAcentral's name for it is "partial 16S ribosomal RNA". It matches the Rfam family "Bacterial small subunit ribosomal RNA", at positions 28 to 507 of the family's 1533-position model. The record is from RNAcentral.